AAGUUUACUGCUUUUGUAAAAUAGCAAUGAUUAUAUCACCUAUCUCUACAUAACAGAGCUGGUGCUUCAAGGAUCAAAUGAGAUUAUGUAUGUGAAAUCACCUUGAAAAGGACCAUGAAUGUAAGACACAAUUGCAGCUGCUGUGAAGCAAAUUUUGGAACAAUGGAUUGAUUCGUUGUAUAAAAGGAAUUAGCCUUGAGAUAAAACCAAGAUUGUAAAAAACUCUCCUGAAGAAAAUGCUGAGCAGCUACUUGUAAGUAGAACCAAAUCCUUCCAAGGAAGAUUUGGGAGAUAGUCAUAAGCUGGUAAAUACCUGGAGAUAAUCAUAAGCUGGGGUCAUGAUCUUUCCUUCCAUAAAGAAGGAUCAGGCCAAGAUGCAGAGACAAGGGACCUAUGCUGUGAACUAUUUCACAAGAAAGGAAUGGAGGCAUUGUAUGGGCCACUCCUUGAGGGAAACAAGCAUGAGGCAGGUCAGGAAAAGAAGGAAAGAGGCAGAACUUCCAAAGAACAGAUUUGUCAAGAAGAGGUAGGCACCUCAAAUAAAACUGCUCAGCAAUGGAAUGCUACCGUGUAAUAAAAAAGAAUGAACCACUGAUACACUCAACGACAUGAAUAACUCUCAAACUAUGCUGAAUGAAAAAAGCUGGACACAAAUGAAUACAUUCUGUAUGAUUCCAUUGGCAGAAAACUAGAAAAUGAAAACUAACCUGUAGUGACAAAAAACAGGUCAGUGGUUUUCCUUAUUACAAAGGUCCAUGAGGAAACUUUGGGAGGAAGAUGAAUAUGUUCAUUAUCUUGGUUGUAGUGAUAGUUUCAUGGGUGUGUACGUAUGUCUUGUAAGAUUGUGCACUUUAAAUACGGGAAGUUUAUUGUAGGUCAGUUGUAUUGCUCUAUGCAUGUUAUAUUCCUCUAUAUACAUAUUAUUUCCAGAAAAACAUAAUUUCCAGAAAAAACUGCUGAGCAACAUAGCACAUAAACAGGCAAUGGGC
This 989-nucleotide long non-coding RNA is filed under the name Macaca fascicularis (crab-eating macaque). RNAcentral's name for it is "lncRNA (ENSMFAG00000046785.2)". Lineage: Eukaryota; Metazoa; Chordata; Mammalia; Primates; Cercopithecidae. The record is from RNAcentral.